UAAGAGAACCGAAGCCGGCUGAAUCAAGAAGACACCAUGAGUGGGUUAUGUGUCGAGAUUAGGAGUUAGAGUAAGAAACUGUUGUCCGAAGAAUACAAGAGAGGAUUUUUGAAGUUACCUUGGGGUUUCUAAGACGUAUCGCGAAUUCAAGAAGAUAUUUUGAGCCGCCAGAAGUGAAGAAUAAAGUGACGAUCCAUGUGAUUACAUGUUCGACGCAUGAGAAAGAAAAGAGAGACCACCAGAAGCCAUGCGAAUGCUACAACUGUCGAAAAUUCAGCAUUAAAGGUAAAAGAGAAUAACCAUCGAUUUCAUAAUAGGUUGCCGACGACUAGGACAAAAGGUGAUACUGUUAGGGAACUGUGGAUCAAGUGACCAGGCCCGUUUUGCCCAUCGGAGUAAACCACUUCUUGGGGAUAUCAAAGAGACUAUACAUCAGGGAGAAGGUGAGACUUCACAGUAUGUUAAACACAUUUGAAUUAACCGAAAACUGGAAUACCAAACGUCUUAGUUCCUGAAUUUGACAGCCGAAACAACGGAGGAAGAGUGACACAAAUCUAAGUUAGAAUUCUCACUAUGAAAGCCGACAAAAGAGUUAGGCAGAUCUAAGAAGAAGACUUCUCAAGUUGGAAGGAAGAGGAUACCUAUUUCUGAAGAUCACUUCAACGAACUAGAAUCGGAUGAUCAAUCAAAAACUAAAAAGCUAAAUCCCCAUCACAUCGGACUAGUGGCGUAUAGGAUCGCUUUACUAUCACAAUGUUCGAACCUGCAUGAUGUGUUUCACAUAUUACAGCUUCAUAAAUACACUUUCGACCCAGUUAUGUCCUACAACCAGAAUCAGUCCAAGUAAGAGAAGGUCUGACGCUUCUAGUAACUCUGGUUAGGACUGAUGAUACUAGCAUUAAACGUUUACGCGGGAGAGAGGUUUUCUUAGUGAAAGUAGCUUGGUGUUGGGCUGGUAUUGAAGAAUACACCUAGAAGCUUGAGAGAGAGAUGCGGAAGGACUACCCACACCUCUAUUCAGGUAGCGCACUUUGAAUUUUGAGGACAAAAUUCCUAAUUAGGUGGGUAGGAUGUAAACCCCGCUAAAAUCGGUAUAUAAUUAGUCAAUAAAUCGAAUUUUCAAUAGGAAAAUUAAAUACGCAAAACUGAUAUCAAAUUAGGAUAGAGCUCGUCGAAACGAGAAUUUUGGUACCAAUUUCGAAAAGUUUGGCCCAAGAUUGGGCCGGAUGGGCCGAACUGGUUGAACCGGACCCAAAAUGGGCCCAAGGCCCAACCAAACCCAAUCCACUAAAGAGGCACAGCUUCUUAUUUCCUUUCUUCUUCAUUAUUCACGCUGGGAAACAUUCUUAGGGGGAAGAACACAAGCAAAAACCUAACCCUCACUUUAAUUUCAAAUCCAUGUAACUUUUGAUCCGGAGCUCCGAUUGACGAACCGUUUGCGACCACGCGUUCACCGUGACGAGCUCUAUGAAACCCAUGGAACAAUUUGGUUCAAGUUAGCUUCCGGAACUUGUGGGCUCAAGCUAUUGAGCAUAUGGGUAUGGUGUAGAUUAAGUGGGUAUAUAUGCAUUGGGAAUAUUUAGAGGCUUGUUGGUGAUCAAAGCUUAGUUUGUGGCUAUUUUACUUGAGCUUGAAGAGGCUGUAAUUUUGUGUUGAGAAGCUGCCUUGGGUGAAUUAAGUGAUCGGCCAAGAUGCAGGUCGAGAGGCUCCUCGCUAGGCGUCUGGAUUCUGGAAAGCGAAGUAGUUCUUGGGUGUAUUUUGGGUUCUAUUUGUAUAUAUAUAUAUAUGUGUAGCUUACUCUCCAAGUAACUUAUGUAUGCUGCUCCUCUUAGAGGUUGAGGGAGAGACAGGAGUUUACUUUGGUAUUUUGGUAUAUUUUGGGGACACUUAUGUAUGUUUAUAUGUAUAUAUGUAUCCUCCGAUCAGCCUUAGCUUCGCAGGCUGAGUCAGAGGCUAGUUAUGCUGUUCCUUGGCUUUUCUUUAUCCCUUCGUUUAUUGUUCUAUCAUAUUCCUAUUAGGUUUCUUAGCACGCAAGUAAUCCUAUUUCUUGAGCGUUGAGCUUUUUAUUUUGCGAUUCUUGUUUACCCACUUUGUUUCAAGGCUCCUAGUAUAUUAAUUUUUUUCAGUAUUAUAUGUAUAUCCUUACUAUUAGAGGUCUGUAA
Long non-coding RNA from Arachis stenosperma, 2162 nucleotides. RefSeq lists it as uncharacterized. Lineage: Eukaryota; Viridiplantae; Streptophyta; Magnoliopsida; Fabales; Fabaceae. The transcript is spliced from 4 exons. The record is from RefSeq and is a predicted model, not a curated record.